GCCCAGUUCUUAUGGGAUAGCUCAGUCAGUAAAUCAUGAGACUCUUAAUCUCCGUGUUGUGGGUUCGAGCCCCCACAUUGGGAA
Podarcis lilfordi (Lilford's wall lizard) is the source of this 84-nucleotide non-coding RNA. NCBI's taxonomy places the organism in Eukaryota, Metazoa, Chordata, Lepidosauria, Squamata, Lacertidae. The record is from the annotation of a GenBank genome assembly.